AUCUUUCCAGUUCAAGAGCGUGAUGAUCGGUGUGUUCACGGUUGAUCCGUGACAGGUGCUGCCUGCUCCUUGUUACGCACUGCGCCUCAGCCUUUCUGAUC
Micropterus dolomieu (smallmouth bass) is the source of this 101-nucleotide small nucleolar RNA. RefSeq annotates it as small nucleolar RNA U13. The record is from RefSeq and is a predicted model, not a curated record. The transcript has a single exon. NCBI's taxonomy places the organism in Eukaryota, Metazoa, Chordata, Actinopteri, Centrarchiformes, Centrarchidae.